CCUUGAUGGCGACCGGCGCACGGGUGAGUAACGCGUAUGCAACCUGCCCGAUACCGGGGUAUAGCCCAUGGAAACGUGGAUUAACACCCCAUAGUACUUUUAUCCUGCCUGGGAUGGGAGUUAAAUGUUCAAGGUAUCGGAUGGGCGUGCGUCCUAUUAGUUAGUUGGCGGGGUAACAGCCCACCAAGACGAUGAUAGGUAGGGGUUCUGAGAGGAAGGUCCCCCACAUUGGAACUGAGACACGGUCCAA
RNAcentral lists this ribosomal RNA (250 nucleotides) under uncultured bacterium. Its description in RNAcentral is "partial 16S ribosomal RNA". It matches the Rfam family "Bacterial small subunit ribosomal RNA", at positions 83 to 334 of the family's 1533-position model. The record is from RNAcentral.